CGCACCUUGCGCUCCUUGGUAUUCCGAGGAGCAUGCCUGUUUGAGUGUCAUUAAAUUCUCAACCUCACCCGUUUUGUAAUGAGACAGGUGAAGGCUUGGAUGUGGGGGUUUUGCAGGCUGCCAUAGUGCUGGUCUGCUCCUCUGAAAUGCAUUAGCGAGCUUAUACUGAGCUUCCGUCUAUUGGUGUGAUAAUUAUCUACGCCGUGGAUUUGGACUCUGUGCUUGCUUCUAACCGUCUGCAAGGACAAUUUACUUGACCAAUUUGACCUCAAAUCAGGUAGGACUACCCGCUGAACUUAA
This 300-nucleotide unclassified non-coding RNA is filed under the name Agaricales sp. Its description in RNAcentral is "partial contains 5.8S ribosomal RNA, internal transcribed spacer 2, and large subunit ribosomal RNA". The record is from RNAcentral. Lineage: Eukaryota; Fungi; Basidiomycota; Agaricomycetes; Agaricales.